RNAcentral lists this ribosomal RNA (891 nucleotides) under uncultured archaeon. RNAcentral's name for it is "bacterial SSU rRNA". It matches the Rfam family "Archaeal small subunit ribosomal RNA", at positions 19 to 903 of the family's 1478-position model. The record is from RNAcentral.
AGAGGCUACUGCCAUCAGAGUUCGAUUAAGCCAUGUUAGUCGAGGGUGCUUCUUCUUCGGAAGAAGUAACCCGGCGGACGGCUCAGUAACACGUGGAUAACUUGCCCUUGGGUCUGGGAUAACCCCUGGGAAACUGGGGCUAAUACCGGAUAGAGCAUCAAUCGCUGGAAUGCCUGAUACUCGAAAACUACGGUGCCCAAGGAUAGGUCUGCGGCUGAUUAGGUUGUUGUUGAUGUAAUGGACCAACAAGCCUACGAUCGGUACGGGUUGUGAGAGCAAUAGCCCGGAGAUGGGUUCUGAGAAAAGAACCCAGGUCCUACGGGACGCAUCAGGCGCGAAAACUUUACAAUGUGCGAAAGCACGAUAAGGGAACUCUGAGUGCCCCCUAAGGGGGCUGUUCUAGUGUCUAAAAAGCAAUAGAAGUAAGGGCUGGGCAAGACCGGUGCCAGCCGCCGCGGUAACACCGGCAGCCCAAGUGGUAGCCACGUUUAUUGGGUCUAAAGCGUUCGUAGCCGGCUUGGUAAGUUCCUUGGUAAAUUUAGCCGCUUAACGGUUAAGCUUUCAGGGAAUACUGCUUGGCUUGGGACUGGGAGAGGUCAGAGGUACUCCAGGGGUAGGGGUGAAAUCCAUUAAUCCUUGGGGGACCACCGGUAGCGAAGGCGUCUGACCAGACCAGCUCCGACGGUGAGGGACGAAGGCUAGGGGCGCGAACCGGAUUAGAUACCCGGGUAGUCCUAGCUGUAAACGAUGCGGGCUAGGUGUUGGCAUUACUGCGAGUGGUGCCAGUGCCGAAGGGAAGCCGUUAAGCUCGCCAUCUGGGGAGUACGGUCGCAAGGCUUAAACUUAAAGGAAUUGGCGGGGGAGCACCACAACGGGUGGAGCCUGCGGUUC